CCUACGGGAGGCAGCAGUGAGGAAUAUUGGACAAUGGAGGCAACUCUGAUCCAGCCAUGCCGCGUGCAGGAAGACGGCCCUACGGGUUGUAAACUGCUUUUAUACAGGAAGAAUUAUACCUACGUGUAGGUAUUUGACGGUACUGUAAGAAUAAGGAUCGGCUAACUCCGUGCCAGCAGCCGCGGUAAUACGGAGGAUCCAAGCGUUAUCCGGAAUUAUUGGGUUUAAAGGGUCCGUAGGCGGUUUUUUAAGUCAGAGGUGAAAUCCUGCAGCUCAACUGUAGCAUUGCCUUUGAUACUGAAAGACUUGAGUUAUUGUGAAGUAGUUAGAAUGUGUAGUGUAGCGGUGAAAUGCAUAGAUAUUACACAGAAUACCGAUUGCGAAAGCAGAUUACUAACAAUAUACUGACGCUGAGGGACGAAAGCGUGGGUAGCGAACAGGAUUAGAUACCCUGGUAGUCCACGCCGUAAACGAUGGAUACUAGCUGUUCGAUCAACACUGGUUGAUUGAGUGGUUAAGCGAAAGUGAUAAGUAUCCCACCUGGGGAGUACGCUCGCAAGAGUGAAACUCAAAGGAAUUGACGG
This 584-nucleotide ribosomal RNA is filed under the name uncultured bacterium. RNAcentral's name for it is "bacterial SSU rRNA". It matches the Rfam family "Bacterial small subunit ribosomal RNA", at positions 338 to 916 of the family's 1533-position model. The record is from RNAcentral.